AGGGCAUGAGUUGAUAGAAGCAUUGUGGAAAAACCCAACCAUGUAAUCCCAGGCAGUACCAGUGGCAGUCAUUAAGUCAUCACCUACAAAAUCAGGAAACCAGAAGGCAGAGCUUUGUUCAGAAGAAGGAAUACUAUGCGCUGAAUCUGUGUCACAGUUUCUGGCAUUUUGGAGGUUUCAUAAAGGAUGUAGGAGGAGGAAGUCUGGGAACAGCUGUCCAGAAAAAUGGCCACCUAUCAAUAAUUACUUCCUUCAAAAUGUGUUCAAAACCCCCACAUACGAUGUCAAUAGGAUUCACUAGCUUGUGGCUAGCUUCUUCAGCUAAUGGAUGACAGAGAAUAUUGCCUGAAUCUAUUAUAUACGUAUGAACACCAAAUUCCUAGAUUGCAGGACCAGCCCAAUUCUUUGCUCUGCUGGAAGUCAUCUUAAGAGGUUGCUUGACAUGGGCCUCAGGAAUGCCUUGUGGAACUUCAGCACUCAGCUCUCACUCUGUCAUCACAGCUGUGCAGAAAGGGGUGGACGGCUGCAUCUGG
Melospiza melodia melodia is the source of this 533-nucleotide long non-coding RNA. RefSeq lists it as uncharacterized. The record is from RefSeq and is a predicted model, not a curated record. Lineage: Eukaryota; Metazoa; Chordata; Aves; Passeriformes; Passerellidae. The transcript is spliced from 4 exons.